RNAcentral lists this long non-coding RNA (412 nucleotides) under Phoenix dactylifera (date palm). RNAcentral describes it as "long non-coding RNA (PDAC_LNC017505)". Lineage: Eukaryota; Viridiplantae; Streptophyta; Magnoliopsida; Arecales; Arecaceae. The record is from RNAcentral.
CAGAUAUGUAUCUAGUGUAAAUAGAAAGAAUGCAAGAAAGCUGUAGCUGGAGUGGUUAUGGACAAUUUGAUUCAAUCGGAGAGAAGGAAGAUUUUUCUCAAUUUACUUAACUCGAAUCUCUCAAAAGAAAACUAAAAAAAGAUAGAAAAAUUGCGAAAGUAGGGCUAAGUCUCUUUUUCUUUCAUUGAUGAUUCACACCUCUAAAAUUGAGGUAUAUAACCCCUAUUUAUAAUGCUAGUGAGGUCCUCUCUUUUACAAUUUGGGUUGGAUUCCUUUCCUAGUUCAAAUUGGAUUAGAUCUCCAAAAAUAAAUGACCCAUAGAAAUAAUUAAAAAACUAAAAUUCUAGAUGAGAUAGAACUUGACUUUUACCUCAACUUUGUCUUCUGUCGCUCCGCCUAAUUCUUCAUGGAU